UGGGGAAUCUUGGACAAUGGGGGCAACCCUGAUCCAGCAAUGCCGCGUGUGUGAAGAAGGCCUUCGGGUUGUAAAGCACUUUAGUUGGGGAGGAAGGUUAGUAGUUUAAGAGAUAACUAAUUUGACUGUACCCAAAGAAUAAGCACCGGCUAACUCUGUGCCAGCAGCCGCGGUAAUACAGAGGGUGCAAGCGUUAAUCGGAAUUACUGGGCGUAAAGGGCGCGUAGGCGGAUAUUUAAGUUAGAUGUGAAAUCCCUGGGCUUAACCUAGGAACUGCAUCUAAUACUGGAUAACUGGAGUGCGGUAGAGGGUAGUGGAAUUUCCGGUGUAGCGGUGAAAUGCGUAGAUAUCGGAAGGAACACCAGUGGCGAAGGCGGCUACCUGGACUGACACUGACGCUGAGGCGCGAGAGCGUGGGGAGCAAACAGGAUUAGAUACCCCUGUAGUCC
RNAcentral lists this ribosomal RNA (449 nucleotides) under uncultured bacterium. RNAcentral's name for it is "bacterial SSU rRNA". It matches the Rfam family "Bacterial small subunit ribosomal RNA", at positions 355 to 796 of the family's 1533-position model. The record is from RNAcentral.